UAUGUUCGUUAGAUUCACGCACAAACUCGUAAUACGUCUUUUCACUUGCAAACAAUUAACAAAUCAUCGGCAGUCGGAUUCUUUAAUUUUGGUUUGUGUUUAAACACGAUUUAGAUCUGUGAAUUCUAACAUGUGGAUAUACAAAUUUUGAGCGAUGUCUGCAAUCGGAAGGAACGGUAAACGACGACUAUGUAUGAGGGUAGGUGACGUGACGGUGAUGCCCAUACCCUGUUUUUGACGUAGUCAUAUUUUAACGAUAUUUAUAUUAUUUAUACAGUUACAAAUUGCUAAAAAUGGCACAUAAAUAUUAAAUAAAUGGAGAGCUAGUUACUAGGUAGCAAAACAGACGAAGAAAUGGUAAAUAAUGGGAAGGAUAAAAUAGGGUUUAGAGCUGUAUCUAUGACCGCUCAGAAUCAGAGCUUCCAAAUUUGUUAAGACAGACAAUCCGAACUUGUAAUUUGUGUCGUGAAUAAAUAAUGUAAAAAACUUUUGAUUGUUAUCAUUUUGAAAUGACCACGUUUGAGCCUAAAAUCUCAUUUAUUUCUUAUCCUCCUUUUAGUGUUUACCAUUUAGGGAAAAGCAUGUUUUGUACAUACUCGAGCACAAUAGCAUAUCAUUUCAUUCAAUAUAUAUGAGUCAAUAAGCUAGCGAGAUUUACAACAAGAACUUUGUAUUACAAUUUCACAAGUUAAAAAAAAACAUCAUCACAUCUGCUUGUAUUUAAAUUAGCUCAAAGAUGUUACAAAAGUAUGAGCUUGAAAUACCGCUUUCAAAUGGUAAAUGAGGAAAAUGAGAGAGAGAGCCUAUUUACUGUUUUAGGUUAAAUUUACAGGGAUAACACCCUCCAUUCCAUUCCAUUCCAUUCCCCUUGUUUCUUUUUAUACUAUAAAUAAUAUCUAACACAACAAAACUACCAUUUGAAGGUUGAUGAGCAGAAAAACUAGAAUGGAAGCGGAAGUGGGUGCAAUUUGAAGGUUGAUGUUUGAGGAGAAGCCGAGGCUCUUCUGUCGUCUUGGAGAAGAAGCAAAUUUGGGGUGUUUGAUUCUCUGAUCCAGGCAGCCACAACAGGUCCA
Lactuca sativa (garden lettuce) is the source of this 1073-nucleotide non-coding RNA. Lineage: Eukaryota; Viridiplantae; Streptophyta; Magnoliopsida; Asterales; Asteraceae. The record is from RefSeq and is a predicted model, not a curated record.